Molecule: unclassified non-coding RNA, 20 nt
Filed under: Mus musculus (house mouse)
Lineage: Eukaryota; Metazoa; Chordata; Mammalia; Rodentia; Muridae
Description: oocyte_clustered_small_RNA12900
Source: RNAcentral
UAUUCGCAUGUAUUGCCUAA